UCCGGUUGAUCCUGCCAGACCUGACUGCUAUCGGAUUGAUACUAAGCCAUGCGAGUCGUUGUAGCAAUACAAGGCAUACGGCUCAGUAACGCGUAGUCAACCUAACCUAUGGACGGGAAUAACCUCGGGAAACUGAGAAUAAUGCCCGAUAGAACAUUAUGCCUGGAAUGGUUUAUGUUCCAAAUGAUUUAUCGCCAUAGGAUGGGACUGCGGCCUAUCAGUUUGUUGGUGAGGUAAUGGCCCACCAAGACUAUUACAGGUACGGGCUCUAAGAGGAGUAGCCCGGAGAUGGGUACUGAGACACGGACCCAGGCCCUAUGGGGCGCAGCAGGCGAGAAAACUUUGCAAUGUGCGAAAGCACGACAAGGUUAAUCCGAGUGAUUUCUGCUAAAGAGAUCUUUUGCUAGUCCUAGAAACACUAACGAAUAAGGGGUGGGCAAGUUCUGGUGUCAGCCGCCGCGGUAAAACCAGCACCUCAAGUGGUCAGGAUGAUUAUUGGGCCUAAAGCAUCCGUAGCCGGCUCUGUAAGUUUUCGGUUAAAUCUGUACGCUCAACGUACAGGCUGCCGGGAAUACUGCAGAACUAGGGAGUGGGAGAGGUAGACGGUACUCGGUAGGAAGUGGUAAAAUGCUUUGAUCUAUCGAUGACCACCUGUGGCGAAGGCGGUCUACCAGAACACGUCCGACGGUGAGGGAUGAAAGCUGGGGGAGCAAACCGGAUUAGAUACCCGGGUAGUCCCAGCUGUAAACUAUGCAAACUCAGUGAUGCAUUGGCUUGUGGCCAAUGCAGUGCUGCAGGGAAGCCGUUAAGUUUGCCGCCUGGGAAGUACGUACGCAAGUAUGAAACUUAAAGGAAUUGGCGGGGGAGCACCAUAAGGGGUGAAGCCUGCGGUUCAAUUGGAUUCAACGCCGGG
RNAcentral lists this ribosomal RNA (913 nucleotides) under uncultured archaeon. Its description in RNAcentral is "bacterial SSU rRNA". It matches the Rfam family "Archaeal small subunit ribosomal RNA", at positions 1 to 922 of the family's 1478-position model. The record is from RNAcentral.